Molecule: long non-coding RNA, 1265 nt
Organism: Bos taurus (domestic cattle)
Lineage: Eukaryota; Metazoa; Chordata; Mammalia; Artiodactyla; Bovidae
Source: Ensembl
GGGAAGACAGAGAGGGGCGGGGCUUCGUCCUGCCGCGCUCGCAUUUCGCAUUUCGUCUCGGAAGCGAGGGCACCUCGCUCUGGCAGCCGCAGCGGGUUGUAGCCUCCGCCUUCUUUCGGCACUUUCCAGAAACAUCCUUGUUGGAGGUCCACCCUCCUUCAGAAGCCCCUUCUCAAACCCCUGGUCCCAGCAGCAGCCGAAUAGCAGCGCUGUCUGCUCUACAGCCUCCUCUUUGCUGCUGCUGCUGCUGCUAAGUCGCUUCAGUUGUGUCCGACUCUGUGCGACCCCAUGGACAGCAGCCCACCAGGCUCCACUGUCCCUGGGAUUCUGCAGGAAUGAGAUGUAAGCCAGGAGGCAAGCCUGAGGCCGAGAAGCCCCCAGGGAUGGCAGUCUCUCCUGCAGGACUGGAUGUGGCCAGGGCUGAGGUCAAGGCCCCGAGGGCAGCCGUGGGCAAGCUGCUCCAGCAAAGCUCAGCCGCUGCACCUUACCUUGGACGAGGGGUAUCUCCUCACAGCCGCCCCUCCUGACCUUGAAAGUGGAGUAGCUCCUCUCAGCCCUCCUGCGCUCGCACAGCCACCGCUCCUUGGACAUGAGGUUGCUCCUCUCGGCUGACGCCCCUGGCAUCGGGCAUGGGGUAGCUCCUCCUGGCCGCCACCCCUGACCUCGGGCAUGGGGUAGCUCCUCCCUGCCGCUCCUGCGCCAUCACAGCCUGGCACUCCUGGCCGCCGCCCCUGACCUCGGACGUGGGGUAGCUCCUCUCGGCUGCCGCCUCUGACCUUGGGCAACGGGUAGCCCCUCUGGGCCACACUUCUGCAUGGUCUGUGGCAGCUGGGUGCUUCUGCGCGGUCCGUCGCAGCUGGUACACUUCAUGUCCAAGUUAAGUUGGGGCCUGUGACUGAGCACUGGCCAAUGGGAGUAAGAGGAGAGGUGAAGCCUAACUCUGCUGCUACUGCUGCUGCUGCUGCUGCUAAGUCCCUUCAGUCGUGUCCGACUCUGUGCAUCCCCGUAGACGGCAGCCCACCAGGCUCCCCCGUCCCUGGGAUUCUCCAGGCAAGAACACUGGAGUGGGGUGCCACUGCCUUCUCCAGGUGUGAGCAAUUUAAGAGUCUGUGUACUACUGCCUCUUUCUGUUCCUUAUGUUCAUAGAACUUGGAGCCUCUGUAACCCAUAUGAAGCAGCUACAAGGCACCAGAGGUCCGUGGGCUUGGACCCCAGAAUACCUGUGUGGAACUGAACUCCAUACCCACCUGCACUGGGACAUGUAU